GAAAGAAAACAAAAAAGAAGAGAGGAGAAGUCUAGAAUAAGAGAGAAGAGAAACUUAAGCUAGAAAGAGCAAAGAGCUACGGUUUUGGGAGGAGGAAAAGCCCAAAAUGUUACUAAACAGCCACGAAGUUUCAGUCGCGCUAGAAGAGCUUCCGAAGCGAGUUUUGGCGAGUUUUGGACAAGAUUUUUUUGGAAGGCCAAGAGUUAAGUGGUAUUGACUAAGGAAGCGGACAAGGUACACCCAGACGAGUAGAAGCUAUUAUAGAAAAUGUUCCAGCAGGGUUAGCAACUCCACUUGUUCCUAGAGUGCUACUGAGUCAGAGUAUAUGCGCUAUGAUGUUUCGUUCGAAGUUAGAGACUUUGCAGACAGAGUCGUGGAUAUAGAGUGUCAGCUUUGUAAGCGGC
This is a long non-coding RNA of Solanum dulcamara, 404 nucleotides long. RefSeq lists it as uncharacterized. The record is from RefSeq and is a predicted model, not a curated record. NCBI's taxonomy places the organism in Eukaryota, Viridiplantae, Streptophyta, Magnoliopsida, Solanales, Solanaceae. The transcript is spliced from 4 exons.